CAGCCGCCACGGUAAUACAGAGGGUGCGAGCGUUAAUCGGAUUUACUGGGCGUAAAGCGUGCGUAGGCGGCUUUUUAAGUCGGAUGUGAAAUCCCUGAGCUUAACUUAGGAAUUGCAUUCGAUACUGGGAAGCUAGAGUAUGGGAGAGGAUGGUAGAAUUCCAGGUGUAGCGGUGAAAUUCGUAGAGAUCUGGAGGAAUACCGAUGGCGAAGGCAGCCAUCUGGCCUAAUACUGACGCUGAGGUACGAAAGCAUGGGGAGCAAACAGGAUUAGAUACCCGUGUAGUCCCUGUCUCUUAUAC
This 301-nucleotide ribosomal RNA is filed under the name uncultured bacterium. RNAcentral's name for it is "partial 16S ribosomal RNA". It matches the Rfam family "Bacterial small subunit ribosomal RNA", at positions 509 to 807 of the family's 1533-position model. The record is from RNAcentral.